CAUAGGCAGUGGCUUGGUUAAGGGAACCCACCAGAGCCGUUGCGAAAGCGAGUCUUCAUAGGGCAAUGGUUACUGCUUAUGGACUCGAACCUGGGUGAUCUAUCCAUGACCAGGAUGAACUUGGGUGAAACUAAGUGGAGGUCCGAACCGACUAAUGUUGAAGAAUCAGCAGAUGAGUUGUGGUUAGGGGUGAAAUGCCACUAGAACCCAGAGCUAGCUGG
This 221-nucleotide ribosomal RNA is filed under the name Prunus dulcis (almond). RNAcentral describes it as "rRNA LSU_rRNA_bacteria". It matches the Rfam family "Bacterial large subunit ribosomal RNA", at positions 629 to 852 of the family's 2925-position model. The record is from Rfam by way of RNAcentral. Lineage: Eukaryota; Viridiplantae; Streptophyta; Magnoliopsida; Rosales; Rosaceae.